AGUGGGAAGUACAGAUGACUCCCCAGGUGAGACGGCAUUUGAUUGAGAGCUUAAAACAAGAGUUCCACAGAUGAGGAGAAGAAAGAAGCUUUCACUCCAGGCAGGAGGAACAGUAACUGCCAGGAAAGCUGCAGAACAGAGGUCUGAAAACAUAAGAGAAGCCAGGAAAAUGCAAGUCCUUCCUCCUGACCCUAGAAAAUCUCUGCUGCCAAGGCUGGGACUCUGCUGCCAACUUCAGGCCUGGGAAAACCAAGACUCCAGGAGCUCUACCUCUAGGAUUCUUCCAAACAUCUCACCAUGUCCUCUGAUACCUCUGUAGUCAUCUGCCACAACCUACUUCUGAAUAAAUCCUACAUUCCACCUUUCUGUGCCUGUACCCAAGAAGCCAAAUGUUGAUGGAAAAAACCACAAAGGUAGUUAACUGGUCAGCACUGCCAAAAACAAACAAAAAACCAGGCAAACAAAAAUCAACCACAUUUCUUUAGUAGACUCAUAUUGCCCUCCACUACGCAAACAUUUUAUGUCUCACUCACUCUCUUCAAAUUUAUCAUAGCCCAACUUGACAGUCACUCACUGCUCAUGACCUUGCUUAUACUCUAAGGAAAAAGAAGACAUCACAUCUGAACACAUACAUCUGCCAACCCCGAAACUACCAACUUAAAAACACAUGUACUCAUCCUCUUUCUCCUAUUGCAAUGGGGGGAAUAUCCCCGCUUCCAUUAAAGGGCAGCUGCACACAUCCCUUUUUUUCUUCUCAGAAACUUGGCUUCUUCCAUUUCCCCCAUCAUUAACUUUCCCUAAUCUGUACUGGUAUAUGUAUCACUCAAUUUUAAAAAGGGUAUGUAACACACACACACAUACACACACAUGCACAUUCCCAUAUCCAUUGCCAUCCAGUGGCCCAUUUCUCCACUUCAUAGCCAAAUUUUGGGGGGAAAAACUGUCUACUGAGGCUCUCCCUACUUCAUCUCCCAUGCACCCUCCAAGCCAUCAUGUACCAACCUCUAUCCCAGUCCCACUGAAACCCACUUUGUCAAGGUCAUCAAAGAUCUUCAUGUUGUGAAGCCAAUGGAAACUUCUCUUUAGGCUGAAAUGUUACAUGAAUUGAACAUUUCCCAUCAAUGCAUAAACCAUCUGUAUGCUGAUGAGUCUCACAUUUAUAUCUCCAGCUUAGAUCAUUUCUUUGAGCUUUAGAAUUUCCUUUUUAUUACCUACUUGAUACCUUGCCUUGGAUGUCUCACGGACUUCUAAAAAAGCCCCCCAAACUGCCCUUCCCCUUCCUGUGUCUUCCUCUCCUCAGUAACUGGUACUAUUUCCCACUCAAUUCAAGUUGGAAACAUAGGGAACAUUCUGUUUUUCAUUUGCUUCACUCCUGCCAUCCAGUCUCUUCAAUUUAUAAUAUGAAUGUAUCUAAAGUCUGUGUUCUCUGCUCACCUCUACUGCAACUCCCUUACUACAGCCUGUCAUCUCCGUCCAAGGCAAUAACAGCAUUUUCCUCACUUGUAUCCUUUGCUUCCUUUCUUACCUGUCUCAUUCUCCACUUGCCUGCCAGGAUGAACUUAUUAUAAUAGAAAUUGGAUCAUAUAAGUCUGUCCCUGAAAUCUUCCAUGGAUUCCUAUUCCAAAUGCACGAUUCUGUCUCUCCUCUUCUCUCUGACUUACAUCUCAAAAGCACUUUCUCCACACUCGCCAAGCUCCAGCCACGAUAGUGGUCAUGGUCAUGCAAUUUCUAGAAGAGACCCACACUACCUCGCACCUCAGGACUCUUAUCUAUGUUAUAUUUUUUUGGAAUGCUCUUUCCUCCCUCUUUAAAUGGACAAACUCUUUCUCGUGCCUUAUGUCUCAGCUGAAAUUGUAUUUCUAAAAGGACUUCUGCAAUCACCCCAAAAUCUGUUGGUCUUAGCUUCUUGUUUGUGUCCUUACAUACUUUUAUUGUGACUUUAAGUUAUCGUAUUUGCUUUUUUAUCUGAAUUUCACUCAUUAGAACAUAAGCUACCUGGGAGCAGGAGCUAUUAGAGUUACAUCUUUAGCAUAGUGGCUAAUAUAUUACAGUUUCUCAACAUUUUUUGAAAGAAUGAAACUAAUCUUCAAUUUUAUGAUAUUGAGAAACAUAUGCAACCAACUUUCAGUUAAGACAAGGAUGUAGAGGGAAGAGGAAGAACAAUGAAAGCAAGUGAAGAUAAUAAACAAAAAUUAAUGAACCCUUACUAUAUAUUGAGUGCUAUCUCUUGACCAGAUAGCAGAGGUGCAGAUGGAAGCAAAAUGAGAUUUAGAAUGGGGCCAAGGAAAGGGAAGAAAUGAACAGGAGUUUCUACCUUCAAUUGUCAUGCUAAUCACAGGGAUAGUUGCCAGAGAAGGAGGGAACCUGAUAAAUGAGCAAGAGAUUAACUGACAUGACUGACCAGCCUCAGAAUUUCAUCUGGAAUUUUACUGUUGAAUCAUGAGUUUCCCUCCAGUUGUUGGGGGAGGAACAUGGGCUGGAUGAGGAGUUGUGUGUAGAGGCCACAUGCAGAUAUACUUGUCUGAGGUGGGAGAGGCAUACCUGGCUGGGUACACAAAAGCCAAGAGGAAUGGAUAGAUCAAAAGCAAAGACAUUUAAACCCCAGCCCAGAGUAACUGCUCAAUAAAUAUUUGUGCAGCCCUUAGCACAAUGAAGGUCCUUAGUAAUUCUGAGAAAAUCUUUCUAAUACUGCAACUGACAUUUCAAAAUUAAAGUUGCAUGGUUCUAGGUGGCCACAUAAACUCACCUUUUAAAAAAUCAGCAACAAAAAUUUUUGCUUUGAAUGAUUAACAAUACUUUGUUUUCCAUUUUUUUUGUGCUGACAGUAUUUCAUCAAGCUACAACUUACACACAGCCAUAUGCACAUCCUUGGUGUACAGCUCCAUGAAUGCUAACAUACGAAUACACUGCCCAGCUCAAGAGGACAAAGCAAUACUAAUACCUCCAUUGGCUUCAAGCUGAGAAACAAAAAAUCCUUGUGCUAGAUAAUGCCCAUUAUCAGUGCCCCUCUCCACCCUCAGUCUAAGGGAGCCAAGGUAAUUUUGGUGUGGUUGAGUUAAUGGCUGGAAUAGAAAGCCAUUUCUACUAAAGUUAUCUUUACAAUGUCAAAAACACAAGGGAUAUGUAUUGCUUCAUUCUUUUCCAAAAGAAGUGUCAGCCAUGAUAGUUCUAUAUUUAGAGGAAAAUAAGAAAAACAUUAUUAUGCUUUGGAGAGUAACUUGUGACCCUGCUUCUCUGAAAGGCAUUUUCCUUGGUUAGUUAGUCUGUUCCUGAAAACCACUAAUAACCCAAUUCUUCCGAUUUGCUUUACUCCUGUGUCCCUCCAGGGGAACACACAUACAGUCCCGUCAGGUAUGAAAUCAGAGGGACCAGAGCCUCAAAAAAAUCUAUUCUCACACUGCUUUUGCUUACGUGCCUCUAACUCUCAUGGGAUGGUCUAUGGUUUCCAUGGCAAUACCUGGCAACAAUGCUGGGCAGCCUUACAGGAGCUCUGUUUGGAAGCGAUGGGGCUAAAACGCAUCUGUCAGAGGUAAUAAAGAGUUCUCUGUGUGAACAUUUCUGUCUGACUGCUCCACUCAGACACCUGCGCAGGUUCAGAAGGUAAUGAGCAUGGAGCAGGGUGGGAAUCUGGGGUGGGUGAGCCUAUCGUAUGGACAGUCUUUAGCACAUGUCAUGAUGGGGCCACGAUCCUCACCCAACUGGGUGGCUUUGACCAGAUAAGUUAAAAGCUGACACUGUGUCUGACCUCUGAAGUCUUUACUAAAGACUACAUCGAUUCUCAGACUCAUCUUUAAAAGUUGAAUUUCUCAUAUUUUUACUCUCUGCCAUCUCUAAUAAGUUCCUUUUGCUGAAUUUCCCAUUUCUGUUAAUGCUGUCACCAUCUUCCUCAGCACGCAAAGCUUCAGGUUGAGGCUUUAAUCCAUUCUUCAAAUUGAAUCAAAAAAAUCCUCUUAGUUUUUCAUUCUCAUUUUUUUCUUACGUCUAUCCUUUUAUAUCCAUUCAUUCAUUCAUGUAUCCAUUCAUUCAAAACAUACUUAUGAGCCCUUACUAUUGACUGAGGAUGCAACAAAGAACAGAAUGGGAAAAAAAAGUUCAGUAUCUUUGGAUGGGCUUAGAGCACAGAACCAGUUGAUAGGUUAUGACUCCCUAUUGUGACAACUCAAGUCAGAUUUCUAUCCACUACACUAGGAAUUUUUCCAGUUAUAAAGAUCAAGUAAUACUCUGGUAGGCUGCCUAUCUCUUUCAUUUCUAUGGACAGGUGAUUGAUUAGCCACCACCAAAGACCUUGUAGAUAUAAGUAUCCUGACUAUCAAUAUAUCCCUGUUGCUAUUAACUACUUCUACUUUGAUGAUACCUUUUUACUGGCAAUUAAAUGCUAGUGCUUGUGCUCUGCCCCCAUAGGAUCCCUUCAUCCUCAUCACAACGGCAACAUCUCCCACUAUCACCCCAGCUUAGAGAGGCAGCCACUGCUGAGUUUUUAUAGUAUGCUGCUGCUCCAAUCACUGCUUUAUUUAUGAUUUCAUGAAAUGAGGGUGUCAUGGGGUCAUCAGGGAAUAUCUGCUACAAGAAGAGGCUCUCAAUAUUCAGAUAUCCCAGGUGACAUGUUCUGUGGCAGGAAGUCACUUUCCCCAGCCAUCCAGAGUGGCAGACAGAGAGUGUGGAGGAGCUUGGCAGCAGGGAAUCACACUUUCCAAGGCUGAACUGACAAUUGCUACUACUAAGUGUCUAACCUGCCAAGAGCAGAAACCAAAAGGGAGCCAUUAAUAUACUAUCAUUUUUCCAGGAAACCAGAGAACCACCUGGUAGCUGAUUACUCAUAUUGAAACUCUUCAUCAUAAAGGGCAGCCAGCCACGUGUGCUCAUUAGAAAGUAUAUGUAUUACAGUACAGAUUUCUCUUUCCUGUUAUGUUUUUGCCAUCUCAUUAUCCUUGGACUUUUAUUACAUCUUAUUCAUCAUCAUGGCAUACCCAGACAAUAUUUGCUUCUAAACAAGGAAUUUAUUCCAUGGCAAAAGAAGUAUAGCAAUGGGCCCAUGUACAUGGUCUUACCAUGUGCCACAUCUCCCAGAAGCAGCUGCUCUGAUCAAAUGGUAGAAUGGCCAAUUAGAGGCCAGCUGGAAGAGAAAACCCUGAAAGGUUGGGGUUCUAUCCAAUAGAGUGAAAUACAUGCUUUGAACCAGUGAUCAAUGUGUGGUGCAAUUUAUCCCACAGCCAGAAUCAAGGGGCAGAACUUGGGAAUGGAUUCUCCUACAGCUACACUAGCAAUCCACUGAGAUAAUGUUUGUUACCUGUCUCUACACCUUUGAGCUCUGUUGAUUUAGGAAUUUUCAUUUACAAAGAGAAAGUAUUCCACGUAGGCGUAGAUGACCAUUUGAAGCUUCUGAUGCUACUAAACCAAAAGGCUAAAAAGGAAUUUUAUACUGGCUGGGAAAAUUGGGUUCUACUACUCAAGAAGACAGAGAAAACUAGUCCCAGAGCCUGUGGUCUUCUAAGGGUGUCUCUUAUACUCCUCGGUGCAACAUUUUGGAAAACCAUAUCAACUCAAUAAAUGCAAGACCUCUGGGAAUUCAGGCCCCUUAAAGAAUGAAGGCUUUCAGGUAAGAAGUCUUGGCCGGGUGCAGUGGCUCACACCUGUAAUCCCAGCACUCUGGGAAGCUGAGGUAGAGGAGAGCUUGAGCCCUGGAGUUUGAGAUCAGCCUGGGAAAUACAGGGAGACCCCCAUCUCUGAAAAAAUGGAAUUUUAAAAAAUCUAUCAGCUGGAUAUGGUGUGUGCACCUGGGCAACAGAGCAAAAGCCUGUAUCUUAAAAAACAAGAGAGAGAGACUCUACAAGCUGAGUUGCUAGCUUACAACGAAUGUAACAUCAAAUAGACAAAUAGACAGUGGAAGAGGAAUUGAUAUUAGUGAUGACCUCAUGAAUAGUUAUAGAAAUGUGACUCUUAUGAAUGUCUACCUUUGUUUAAUUUGUGUGUGUGUAUCUACCUUUGCUUAAUUUGUGUGUAUCUAUCUAUCUAUCUAUAUAUAUAUAUAUAUAUAUAUAUAUAUAAUGUUAAUUCAUUUCUUCCCCCUCCUUUUUUCCCCUAUUAUUUUACUUAAGUUCUACUAUUCAUGAUUAAGUUUAUAACGUCAUCUUUAGUUUACAGAGUAUUCAGAUAGAUAUGUAGAUAUGCAUAUGAUUGUUACAGGAAAUCUCUUUUGGUUAGAAGGUAAUACAGUCUUCAUUUGUAUGAGGGAUAAUUGCAUCUUAUUAGGCAGAGCACGGAGCUCUUAUAAUUGGUUAGAAGGAUGGGGACUGAUGCUGACUAACCAAGAGGAUAGACAAGACUAGUUAUUUGCCUACUUUCUCUGAGCUCCAAGUCCUGCUAUACUUUGCAGUGGUGAGCCUAGACUAGCUUGCCAGCUGGCCCUCUAUUAGGUUCUGCUAAUGAGAGGCACCAGAGGGAUUGGAAGGUGGGAAGAGGAGAGAAGGGACAUCCCUUCUGUUUCUAGUCCCUUCUGGCAAUGCUCCCGCAGCCACAGGUGGCUGGCUCAGCCUCCAGGUUCUUCAAUACUCCCAGUGCCAGCUUUUCCAUGCCCCUGCAGAGGCACCUGCAGGCAUGAGGCCCAGCACUUUUGGGAGUUCAGUGCUAGCCAUGCCAUCCUUCCUCACCCAUGGAGCCAGGCCCUUCCAUGGUCUGCAUUCACCAGAUCAUGCCCUCUCCUCAGAGGCAUAAGCACCCAUUAGGCCACACUCCUCUGGAGGUCCAGCACUCACCUGACCUUGACCCUUCUUGGGAUUCUGAUCGCCAACACUGAGGCGUCCCCAGAUUCUGCUAACCCACCUCUUCCUUUCUCUUUCCUAGUCCUAGAUUAGUAACUAAUUCCUGUGGUUAUGCAUGUCAGUCACCUCAGCACUUCUUCCAAUGGUGUGCGAUUAAUGACAUCUAUUCCCCUUUGCUUUAAAUAUCCAGUUUGUCAGGUUUCUUGUUUAUGGUAUUUUUUCCCCCUAACUGGACCUUGUUUGAUACAGAGAAGAGCAGGUUUGGAGGGAAAACUGAUUAACACCACUAUUCAUGCAUUGUCGCUCCGUUCAUUCAUCCAUUCACUCUUCCACCUAUUAAAUAUUUCUUGAAUUCUUAUUGGGCACUCCACUAGGCUUUGAGAUAAAAAGGUGAAUAGGCAUGGUUUGUCCCAGCCAGCAAAGAUUUCCUUUAAGGCCUAGGGGAGGAAGCAGGCCAUCCAACCAGCAGUAGCCAGAGAGUGCCACGGUGGAAGAGGAGCACUGACCUCAGUCAGGGGUUGAGGCAGACUCAGAAACAAUUCCAGAAGCAGUGGCAUCUGCACACACAAUGCAUGAAGGGAGGAGAUGCUCCAGGCAGAGAGAACAACAGGGUUAAAGAAAAAUAUGUUUGAGGUAAGGUGGCAGGUUUAGUCCUCUGAUUGUGAUGGAGCUCAGAUUGCAGAGCAUAUGACGAGGAGAGGAAGACAGAUGAGAAAGCAGAAGUGGGGAAGACAGCCGAAUGAGAGCCUGGCAGCUCCUGUAAGCCACAGCGCCUUUCCCUCUCCUGUCUCCUCUCUUGCUCCAUUCGGUGAUCAAUGUUGGGCACACAUUGCUCCUCUGACCUGUGGAAAGGAAAGGAGUGUGGAGAGUGUCAACUCCUCAGCCUCAAUCCAAAAGCCCCAAUAACAACUGUUUCCCAGUCAAUCAUCUCACCUCUAGGUUGCAUGCUUUCUUGCAAAUUUGGCUCUGCACUCCAAUUUCCUUCUAGAGCUUUCUCUCCUUUGUCUUAUCUGGGCUCUUUUCCUCUCAGUCUCCCCAUCUUCUUAAUGAACAGCAAUUUUGUUCUCUCAGCUUUUUCGAACCCAUCUCAUCACCCCCAUCAAAUUCACCCAUGCAGUUACCAGGGCCCACUCUCCUUAGCAGGCACCAGAUUAUAUGCAGCAGAAUCUUUUCUUGUCAUGGGAUGAAUACAGUGAAUAACAUGAGUAGGUGUCAGAAGUGUGAGUGAAAGAACUGCCCCUGCUUGCUAGGGCCACAUUGAGGUUGGAGGUGGGAGGAGAUGCUCUUGAUAACCUGGCCUGUAUUCUCAGUGCCAGGAGGAGUGUGCACCCAUCCAAUCAUUAUUUAGUAAAAAUAUUUUUGUAAAUAAAAUACAGCCUAAGUACCUUGAAUAAUUUUAAAUUCAUAUCAGAUGCAGCUUUUGAAGUUAUAAGAUUCUUUGACUUAUGUGAACAAUGUAACCCAUGUGUAAUUAAAAAUUUUUAAUGGAAUUGUAUCUCCC
This 8259-nucleotide long non-coding RNA is filed under the name Homo sapiens (human). RNAcentral describes it as "HSALNT0367725". The record is from RNAcentral. Lineage: Eukaryota; Metazoa; Chordata; Mammalia; Primates; Hominidae.